Molecule: long non-coding RNA, 606 nt
Organism: Puntigrus tetrazona (Sumatra barb)
Lineage: Eukaryota; Metazoa; Chordata; Actinopteri; Cypriniformes; Cyprinidae
Exons: 4
Source: RefSeq, a predicted model, not a curated record
UAAUGAACAUUUUCACUGAGCUGUUGUAUCUUACUCCUGUUCUAGAAACUACUCAGCCUUCACAAACCCUCAGUCUCUCAAGAGACACCAUAACAAGCAUAUGGUUAAUCAUGGCCAGUGGAGUCAUUGUUCUGGCCGGACUCACGGGCAUCUGCUUGUGCUGCUUCAACACAGAGAAUCCGGGGAGGUUUGAAUAUUCUGAGGUGCAGUAUGUUGAAGUAUACAUUGUGGGUGGUGUUAUACAUAGACCUGAAUUUGACAAAUUACCAAGAUGAAAAAAAGAUGUGUGCAGCAUAGGGUUAAAUAUUCAAGCUCAGUAGUUGUUGUUGUUGUUUUUUUUUAAAUCUGAUCAAGAUGAAAACAAAAUUAAGAUCUUCUGCCAUAAUGUUUUAACUUCUUUUCCAUUCCUCUUUUUUUUGUGUAAAGAUAAUUUAAACAUUAAGCAAGAGUUUCCAUACUGUAGAGGAUCCAGCAUGUAACAAUACUUUUGUAUUUGGUACUUUUUUGUUUGUUUGUUUUAAGAUGUUUUUUUUGUUAAUAGGGUAUGAUUAUUUGCACCUGUUUCUGCUGAAUGCAGUUUUUGUUUAUUUUUUGUUAAAUGUGAAU